CAACAGAUAAAGAGUAUUGGGUUAGAAUGAAUCAGAGGUGUUUUUUGUGAUAAGGGUGACAGAGAAAGUGUUUAGUCAAUGAACAAGCAAUGUAUUUCAAGUUGAAAUCAAAGUUAUCAUGGCAAGUGAAGUAGCAAUCACCACAAAGUCAAGGCCACAAACCAACCACCAUGUUUAAACUCACAAGUUUUCUUUGUCUGAAACAGGGGUGAAGGCUAUGUUCAUAUCAAAGCUUGGAAGCUUGAAUUUUUCAUGUGUAAUGCCCCAGUUCUGCUUACGCAAAGGCUAUUGAGAAGAUCACACAUCACCCCUAGGAGAAACACUUCCUAGUCUGGGUUUUCAAGUUAUAUUUUGUUGUAGGAGAUGCACUUCCUAAAUUGAGGUAUCGCCCUUAGGAGACACACUUCCUAUCCUAGAUCUUUAAGGUUAUAUUUUUGUUUUAGGAGACGCACUUCCUAAAUUGAAAUUUUACCCCUAGGAAAUGCACUUCCUAGUUUGGAUCAUAUGAGUUUGAGUCACUGAGGUUUUACCCCUAUGAGAUGCACUUCCUAGUCUAAGUCUUUCAAGUUAUAUUUUGCUCUAGGAGACACACUUCAUAAAUCGAGAUUCCACCCCUAGGAGACGCACUUCCUAGUCUUGGUCAUUUAAAUUCAUCCCUAAGACACGCACAUCCUAGUUGGAGUCAUUGAAAUUUUACCCGUUAGGAGAAGCACUUCCUAGUCUGGGUCUUUCAAGAUACACUUUCAGGAAACGCACUUCCUAAAUUGAGUUUCACCCCCUAGGAGACGCACUUCCUAGUCUGGGUCUUUCCGUUUAUAUUUUUUCUUUAGGAGACGCACUUCCUAAAUUAAGUUUUAUCCUUAGGAGACGCACUUCCUAGCUUUGGUCAUUUAAAUUCAUUUCUAGGAGACGCACUUCCUAGUUUGAGUCGGUGAAGUUUCACCCCUAGGAGACGCACUUCCUAGUUUGGGUUCUUUAGGAUAUACUUUUAGGAGACACAUUUCCUAAAUUAAGAGUUUAUCCUCUAGGAGACGCACUUCCUAGUUUGUGUCAUUUAAGUUUCAUCUAGGAGACGCACUUCCUGGUUUGAAUCAUUGAAGUUUCACCCCUAGGAGAUGCACUUCCUAGUCUAGGUCUUUUAGGUUAUAUUUUGUUUUAGGAGAUGCACUUCCUAAAUCGAGUUUUACCCAUAGAAGACGCACCUCCUAGUUUGGGUCUUUCAGGUUAUAUUUUGUUUUUGGAGACGCACUUCCUAAAUUAGGAUUUCACCCGUAGGAGACACACUUCCUAGUUUGGUUCAUUCAAGUUUCACCCCUAGGAGACGCACUUCCUAGUCUGGGUCUUUCAAGUUAUAUUUUUAUUUUAGGAGACACACUUCCUAGUUUUGGUUGUUUAAGUCCAUCUAAGAGAUGCACUUCCUAGUUUGAGUCACUAUUGUUAUAUUUGUUUUAGGAGAUGCACUUCCUAGUCAAAGUUUGCUAGUUUUACUCUUCGGAAACACACUUCCUAGUAUAAGUUUGUCAAUUUUAAUCAUAGGAGACGCACAUCCUAGUCGAGUCUUUAGUUUACUCUCAUCAUUGCAUCAAUAGCACAAGUGGUUUACAAUUUUGCUAACAACUCACAAAUCUUUCGAGUGCAAACUGGGGCAGAAAUUUUUUUUUGUUUGUUUUGUUGUUUUGAUUGAAGGCACCCACCUGGAGAACAAGGGAAUUCAGUUCAAGUUUUGGCAAUCAGGCGCCCACUUGGAGAACAAGUGAAUACAGUUCAAGUUUUGGCAAUCAGGCCCACCUGGAGAACAAGGGAAUACAGUUCAAGUUUUAGCAAUCAGGUGCCCACUUGGAGAACAAGGGAAUAUAGUUCAAGUUUUGGCAUCAGGCGCCCACCUGGAGAACAAGGGAAUACAGUUCAAGUUUUGGCAAUCAGGCGCCCACCUGGAGAACAAGGGAAUACAGUUCAAGUUUAUGGCAAUCAGGUGCCCACCUGGAAAACAAGGGAAUAUAAUUCAAGUUUUGGCAGCAGGCGCCCACCUGGAGAACAAGGGAAGUCAUUUUACAAUACAAUUCAAGUUAGAAGAAGCAGAAGUUUGCAGCAAGAAUGUGAGCCAACUGUCCGAGAUGAUCAACACAAGUUAGUCACAAUCCAGAAUAAAAUAAAAUAAAAAAGAAGAAGAAGUGAAUCCAAAAUGCAGAAGUAGAGAAAGAUGUGAACUACUCAAGACAUGAUGACUGAAAUAAUGACCAUUUCAUGUCCGGUCCUAAUCCGAAGAAGAAUGAACUAGCACCUAUAACUAGCGAGCGUCAAGGUUCAAAUCUAAAGUCUAUAUAAAGAACUAUUCAAGACUCAAGAUCAAGCUUCAGAAGACUUAUAGAGAGGAAUCUUGUAACUCAUAGUUGACAUGCUUAGUUAGUCUUUUUGAUUUUUUGAUUUCGAUGUAAUAACAGGACCGCAGACCGGAACCUCGACGGAACGACACCUCAACCGGCUCUCCACCUCGGUAUACUCUAUCACCUCAUUCACUUCUGAACUACACGUGGCCUGAUUCCUUUAUAGCCAAGGAUAUGUAGGCAGCUCAGAUACCAGGGCUCGGUUACAUUCCCCUUUCUCUUAGUUUUGGUCUCUUGAAAUAAAGGUCGGGUCAAAAAACCUGUCUAGUCGUUCUUUGUCUGAAAACUCUUCGCGUUCCCAGUCAAAGAGGGGCUGCUGUAGACAUUUUAUUUUUGACCCUCCUCAAGAUUUUACAUAUUUUAGUAUUUAAAUAUUUAGUUUAGGCCUAAUAUCACUAUUUUAAUUAGUUUUGGCCCUUUUACUUUAUUUUAUCACGAAAAAUGAAAAUUACAAAAAAUAGUUUCAUUAAUGUUUUGUUGUCAUUUUUAAUCUUGAAAAAUACCAAAAAUAGGUUUGUUUUAACGGUUAGUGUUAUUUUAAUAGUUAUUUUCUUAAGUAAGAUUAAGUAGUAUUUUUAAUAGUUUAUCUUGUUUGCUAUAUUAUUUUUACGUACAAAAAAGGAGGAGGGAAUAGAAUUAAUUUUUUGGACUAAUUUAGUCUUGCUUUUAGCCUAAUUAAACCAAUCUCUUAGCCCAUUAACCCAAAAGCCCAAACCUUAACCCAUCAGCACACUACACAAAUAAAAUUAACCAAGAAUCCUAAUCAAAACAAGAGCUAGAGACCUAGUUGAGGGAUCCGCCGUUUUCAAAAAAUCAGACCCCACCCCUAAAAUCCAUCUUCCUCGCCCCACCUCAAACGACCCUCUCUUCAAGACCUACACAGACCUAUACAUACAUAGAGAUCUGAUGUAGCACCAAUGGGCAGACCCCUGUAAUCCAAAGAACAACGAACCUGUAAAACCUUCCCAGCUAUGGCUUCUUCUCUUUCAUAUUACAAGACCAAAGACUCAAGACCUUAACCUACACAACAAUAAUAGCCGCAACACCCUAAGAAAACCUCACUCCCGGCGUCAAACACACCUCCUAAACCGCUGUCGACCAGCCAAACAACCAUCCAACUCCACCUCCGUUCCGACAACCACCAUCAUCCGUCAAUUUCAGUUCUUCUUCGUUUCAAUUUGGGUUUCAAAUUCGAAACACAAAAACAAAAAUCAUUUCAUUUCUGUUUCGAUUCUUCAUAGACUUCAUAUGAAGUUCGGUUCUGAGGUCGUCACUGUUCAUCGAGGUUAGGAAUUGUGGUUCGUAGUUUCAGAUGAUUUUGAUUGCUGUUUCGGAUUUGAUUGUGGCUGUGGUUACUUUACGCCCUUGUAACUAUCGAAAUUUUCAUUAAUCAAAGGCAAAUUUCAAUUCGUGGCAGUUUCGGUUCGAAUCAGGGGUAUGUUUUCUUAUGUUUGUAUUCUCCGAAUCCGGUUGAACGUGAGAUUAUGAUUGAUUCACCUUGCCUUAUUGGUUACUAUUUUUUGGACCAGUUGUUUGGACGCUAAUAUUAUAGCAUUUGUUUUUAUUUCUCUGUUGC
RNAcentral lists this long non-coding RNA (3960 nucleotides) under Nicotiana tabacum (common tobacco). RNAcentral describes it as "long non-coding RNA (NTAB_LNC018369)". Lineage: Eukaryota; Viridiplantae; Streptophyta; Magnoliopsida; Solanales; Solanaceae. The record is from RNAcentral.